This 504-nucleotide ribosomal RNA is filed under the name uncultured bacterium. Its description in RNAcentral is "partial 16S ribosomal RNA". It matches the Rfam family "Bacterial small subunit ribosomal RNA", at positions 28 to 523 of the family's 1533-position model. The record is from RNAcentral.
GAUGAACGCUAGCGGCAGGCUUAACACAUGCAAGUCGAGGGGCAGCAUAAAUAGUAGCAAUACUAUUGGUGGCGACCGGCGGACGGGUGCGUAACGCGUAUACAACCUUCCCUAAACAGGGGGAUAAUCUGGAGAAAUUCGGUCUAAUACACCAUAACAUCAGAGCAGGCAUCUGUUUUGGUUAAAAUUUCCGGAGGUUUAGGAUGGGUAUGCGUAGCAUUAGCUAGUUGGUGAGGUAACGGCUCACCAAGGCGACGAUGCUUAGGGGGACUGAGAGGCUAACCCCCCACACUGGUACUGAGACACGGACCAGACUCCUACGGGAGGCAGCAGUGAGGAAUAUUGGUCAAUGGGCGGAAGCUUGAACCAGCCAUGCCGCGUGCAGGAUGACGGCUCUAUGAGUUGUAAACUGCUUUUGUACGAGGGUAAAGUGGGCUACGUGUAGCCUUUUGAAAGUAUCGUACGAAUAAGGAUCGGCUAACUCCGUGCCAGCCGCCGCGGUAA